UGGGGAAUUUUGGACAAUGGGCGAAAGCCUGAUCCAGCAAUGCCGCGUGUGUGAAGAAGGCCUUCGGGUUGUAAAGCACUUUUGUCCGGAAAGAAAUCCUUGGCUCUAAUACAGUCGGGGGAUGACGGUACCGGAAGAAUAAGCACCGGCUAACUACGUGCCAGCAGCCGCGGUAAUACGUAGGGUGCAAGCGUUAAUCGGAAUUACUGGGCGUAAAGCGUGCGCAGGCGGUUUGCUAAGACCGAUGUGAAAUCCCCGGGCUCAACCUGGGAACUGCAUUGGUGACUGGCAGGCUAGAGUAUGGCAGAGGGGGGUAGAAUUCCACGUGUAGCAGUGAAAUGCGUAGAGAUGUGGAGGAAUACCGAUGGCGAAGGCAGCCCCCUGGGCCAAUACUGACGCUCAUGCACGAAAGCGUGGGGAGCAAACAGGAUUAGAUACCCUGGUAGUCCACGCCCUAAACGAUGUCAACUAGCUGUUGGGGUUUUAUUAACCUUAGUAGCGCAGCUAACGCGUGAAGUUGACCGCCUGGGGAGUACGGUCGCAAGAUUAAAACUCAAAUGAAUUGACGGGGGUCAUAGCUG
Molecule: ribosomal RNA, 581 nt
Filed under: uncultured bacterium
Lineage: Bacteria
Description: partial 16S ribosomal RNA
Rfam family: Bacterial small subunit ribosomal RNA
Source: RNAcentral